UACGGGGGGUGCGAGCGUUGUCCGGAAUCACUGGGCUUAAAGGGCGCGUAGCGGGCGGCCAAGUCAGGGGUGAAAGCCCCCAGCUCAACUGGGGAAGUGCCUUUGAUACUGGUCAUCUCGAGGGAGAUAGGGGCGUGCGGAACUUCCGGUGGAGCGGUGAAAUGCGUAGAUAUCGGAAGGAACACCGGUGGCGAAAGCGGCGCGCUGGAUCUCUUCUGACGCUGAGGCGCGAAAGCCAGGGGAGCGGAACGGG
Molecule: ribosomal RNA, 253 nt
Filed under: uncultured bacterium
Lineage: Bacteria
Description: partial 16S ribosomal RNA
Rfam family: Bacterial small subunit ribosomal RNA
Source: RNAcentral